UACGUAGGGUGCAAGCGUUGUCCGGAAUUAUUGGGCGUAAAGAGCUCGUAGGCGGUCUGUCGCGUCGAAUGUGAAAACCCGGGGCUCAACCCCGGGCCUGCAUUCGAUACGGGCAGACUAGAGUUCGGUAGGGGAGUCUGGAAUUCUUGGUGUAGCAGUGAAAUGCGUGGAUAUCAAGAGGAACACUCGUGGCGAAAGCGAGCUACUGGACAACUCCUGACGCUGAGGCUCGAAGGCCAGGGGAGCGAAAGGG
Molecule: ribosomal RNA, 253 nt
Filed under: uncultured bacterium
Lineage: Bacteria
Description: partial 16S ribosomal RNA
Rfam family: Bacterial small subunit ribosomal RNA
Source: RNAcentral